AUGCCUAGGAAAUUGCCCUGAUGUGGGGGAUAACCAUUGGAAACGAUGGCUAAUACCGCAUGAUGCCUACGGGCCAAAGAGGGGGACCUUCGGGCCUCUCGCGUCAGGAUAUGCCUAGGUGGGAUUAGCUAGUUGGUGAGGUAAGGGCUCACCAAGGCGACGAUCCCUAGCUGGUCUGAGAGGAUGAUCAGCCACACUGGAACUGAGACACGGUCCAGACUCCUACGGGAGGCAGCAGUGGGGAAUAUUGCACAAUGGGCGCAAGCCUGAUGCAGCCAUGCCGCGUGUGUGAAGAAGGCCUUCGGGUUGUAAAGCACUUUCAGUCGUGAGGAAGGUAGUGUAGUUAAUAGCUGCAU
Molecule: ribosomal RNA, 356 nt
Filed under: Vibrio parahaemolyticus
Lineage: Bacteria; Pseudomonadati; Pseudomonadota; Gammaproteobacteria; Vibrionales; Vibrionaceae
Description: bacterial SSU rRNA
Rfam family: Bacterial small subunit ribosomal RNA
Source: RNAcentral